AUUGAACGCUGGCGGCAUGCUUUACACAUGCAAGUCGAGCGGCAGCGCGGGGGCAACCCUGGCGGCGAGCGGCGAACGGGUGAGUAAUGCAUCGGAACGUGUCACGUAGUGGGGGAUAACGCCGGGAAACCGGCGCUAAUACCGCAUAUGCUCUCCGGAGGAAAGGGGGGCACCCGCAAGGGCCUCCCGCUAUGGGAGCGGCCGAGGUCCGAUUAGCUUGUUGGUGAGGUAAAGGCUUACCAAGGCGACGAUCGAUAGCUGGCCUGAGAGGAUGAUCAGCCACACUGGGACUGAGACACGGCCCAGACUCCUACGGGAGGCAGCAGUGGGGAAUUUUGGACAAUGGGGGCAACCCUGAUCCAGCCGUGCCGCGUGCGGGAAGAAGGCCUUCGGGUUGUAAACCGCUUUUGUCCGGAAAGAAAAGGCAUUCCCUAAUACGGGGUGUUCUUGGCGGUACCGGAAGAAUAAGCACCGGCUAACUACGUGCCAGCCGCCGCCGUAA
This 502-nucleotide ribosomal RNA is filed under the name uncultured bacterium. RNAcentral's name for it is "partial 16S ribosomal RNA". It matches the Rfam family "Bacterial small subunit ribosomal RNA", at positions 28 to 523 of the family's 1533-position model. The record is from RNAcentral.